Molecule: ribosomal RNA, 463 nt
Filed under: uncultured bacterium
Lineage: Bacteria
Description: partial 16S ribosomal RNA
Rfam family: Bacterial small subunit ribosomal RNA
Source: RNAcentral
GACGAACGCUGGCGGCGUGCUUAACACAUGCAAGUCGAACGGUAAGGCCCCUUCUGGUGUACACUAGUGGCGAACGGGUGAGUAACACGUGGGUGAUCUUCCCUGCACUUCGGGAUAAGCCUGGGAAACUGGGUCUAAUACCGGCUAGGACCACGCUCUGCAUGGAGUGUGGUCGAAAGCUUUUGCGGUGUGGGAUGGGCCCGCGGCCUAUCAGCUUGUUGGUGGGGUGAUGGCCUACCAAGGCGACGACGGGUAGCCGGCCUGAGAGGGUGUCCGGCCACAGUGGGACUGAGAUACGGCCCAGACGGCUACGGGAGGCAGGAGUGGGGAAUAUUGCACAACGGGCGCAAGCCGGAUGCAGCGACGCCGGGUGGGGGAGGACGGCCUGCGGGUUGGAAACGUCUUUCAGUACCGACGAAGCGUAAGGGACGGUAGGUAAAGAAGAAACACCGGCCAAUUACGU